This is a long non-coding RNA of Drosophila sulfurigaster albostrigata, 918 nucleotides long. RefSeq lists it as uncharacterized. The transcript has 4 exons. Lineage: Eukaryota; Metazoa; Arthropoda; Insecta; Diptera; Drosophilidae. The record is from RefSeq and is a predicted model, not a curated record.
GUAUAUUUGUUUGUAUCACAGUCACUUUGUUUGUUGGUAUAUUUAUUUCCAUUCAGCUGAAUUAAUUAUUUCACAAAUGUUUGCUUAUUGAUGGCGCAUUUUCGUUAGACUGCUCUGCAAGUAACGGUUAAUGUGCUAGAGGUGGUUGAAAAUCGAUUGAUCAUAUCGAUAACAUACAAUCAAGUUGCAGAGGGUUGCCAGAUUGUUCGAAUCAGCAGUUGCGUUGCUAACAUUAAAGGCAUGCCGCUAAUCUUUUGAAUUUGAUUGCCUGAAAUUUGAAUUCCGUUCAGCCAUGCAUUUAUUAAAGAUAUGUACUCGAAAUGUAGAUAUCCUAAUCUUUUACAAACUAUACCUGAGCAACUCGAGCAGAGUUGGCGCUGCCGCCUCUAAGGAUGCGUCUGUUUGCCCAGACGCAGCGAGGGGCGCCGCAAGCCGGUGGCAGCCACUGCCGUGGACAGACGUGGCAGUCGCGCAUUGACUGGCGGACCCAUUAGGCGAUCUGGUCCCUCGGCAAUCACAUGCUCGGCAUGACCCUCGAUGGCUGGCAAAGGCGAGGCUGGCGACCAUUCCGAGCUGGAGCUGGAACCAGAUAUUUGCAUGUGACACGUUGUUCUGCAGUUGACAAUGAGCGUUGCCUUUUUUAAAUUAAAUUCAUUAUCUUUCAAUAUCGUGGAACCCAGCACAGCUGCUGACCUUAGUGUCAGUCAGUCCGUCAAUCGGUCAGUCGAGCAGUCAGCACUUUACACCUGAACACAACCAACCCACAAUUUCGCUUUCUGUAAUUAGUUAAUUUCCUUAAAAGCGCAUCAAUUAUAAAGCGUGAGGGCGGCAUAAGUGAGUGAGCUUGUUGUGCCAACAAGCGACAGUAAAAGCGAUGAAUAAUUUAUUUUGUUUUAGCCUCGAUAUCAUAAAUAUGUC